Molecule: small nucleolar RNA, 219 nt
Organism: Callorhinchus milii (elephant shark)
Lineage: Eukaryota; Metazoa; Chordata; Chondrichthyes; Chimaeriformes; Callorhinchidae
Product: small nucleolar RNA SNORA53
Exons: 1
Source: RefSeq, a predicted model, not a curated record
CAUACACUCCCUUAGAUCCAUGUUUGGGACAUGUCCGUUCUGUCUUGUUGCUAAAUCCAAAUGAUGGUGGGCUCUUUAGUCGGCUGCCAGGCAACAUCCAAUAAACUUUGGUGAUGAGAACAACAUACCUGCACAUUGGACUGCAAUGUUCUGAUGUAAACAGCUUGUGUGAUCAUGUGCUGUUUCCUGCCAUCAGGACUCAGCUGGUUUGCGGACAUU